This 281-nucleotide unclassified non-coding RNA is filed under the name Hevea brasiliensis (rubber tree). Lineage: Eukaryota; Viridiplantae; Streptophyta; Magnoliopsida; Malpighiales; Euphorbiaceae. The record is from RNAcentral.
AUAGAGGUAAGUCUAUCUUUCUUGUCCAAGGUUUGAAACACUAGUGAGUUUUAUUACUCUCUAAAAUCUAGCUUCGCUCAACUCGAUAAAGAAAUUUGUUGCUGGUUUGGUAGAACCCGAAGUUUCUUUUUGUGUCUUCUACCCCCAGCCGGCCUUCUAAAUUCCCCGCUUCUCACCCCAAUCAAAAGAUAAAAUAAGUAUAACUUGCAAAAAAUGAAGAUCUGGAUGUAGUAGUAAUAAGUGUGAACUGACUAGUGGGUCUUACAUUGACUUGUUAAUGG